Molecule: long non-coding RNA, 2864 nt
Organism: Heterocephalus glaber (naked mole-rat)
Lineage: Eukaryota; Metazoa; Chordata; Mammalia; Rodentia; Bathyergidae
Source: Ensembl
GGGAAGGCGAGUGGGGAACGGAUGGACGUCGGAGCUGAGCGGAGAAGUCAUUGUCAUGUGUCGUGUACUAUCACCCUUCCUUCUGUGAUCUUUGGGAAGACCAUGCUGCAGUUCUAAGACACAUAAGCAGUGCCAGCUCUCUGGAGACUCCCAUCGCUGGCUGUCUUCACAGCAGAGUAGCCACAGCAGGAGAAGGAGGUAAAGAAGCAGGGUAAGGAGGAAGAUUUAAAAGGGAGGGAAAGGGUCACAUUUUUUGCACCUGCUAUGAGCCCGGCUCUGCUACAUUGUUUCAAUACACAGUUUGUCCUGGAGCAACCCUCUGCCUGUCGGUGGUUCUAUGUCCACUGCUCUGUAAAAAUGCACAGGUUGGACAGCAACGGCCCAUCGAGUCUUCACCUCUAACGCGGUAUGACCCCACCCUGGUGUCAUGAACUAUUCUGUUGCUGACCUCCAAAGUACUAACAGCUCCUGUCAGUCUUAUGAAAGGAGGCUGUUCAGUUGGUUUUGCUGCUUCUGAGCUGGAAUGCCUAGCCUGUUCAGUAAACCCAAGCCCCAGGUGGGAAAGCAAGGCCCAGGCUCCCCUGAAUUGCAAGUGCAGGAAUGGGGGGCAGGUGGGGUAUACAUCUGAAUGGUGGAGGUGCAAUAUCUGCCCUGGGGAGCCCCCAAAUCCUUACUGUCUGAACAUUCCUGAUCACCAUAUAAGCAACUCGGGUGUAGUAACUAAGCAUCUUGUUUUCUUCUAUCUUUUGGAACACUCACACCUAACAGGCUACUUAUUUUGGUUUAGGACUUCAUUCUCAUACCUAUAUAUUCAGAACACUUUAUAAAAUGACCUCUGAUAUUCAAUAAACAAAAAUAUGGUAAAGCUUCUAAUGUGAGGUUCUGUGUAAUUCUAGGGAACUAAGCCUAAUUCCUCUUAAAGCCUAUAAAUACAAUUAUGCUCAUAAACUCAUUUGGAAUUUUUUUUACCCUAAAAUACUGUGCCCAGCAAAGAAAUGAAGCACUGGUGAACUUUACCAUGUUUAAGGCCACAGUGCAGGAUCCAGUCCACCUCUCCAAAUAACCUGUCUCCUAAUGCCUGGACUUCAGUGAGCGCGCGCACACACACAGCUUGAUUUCUCAUCCUUUGGCUAAACUUUGUUAAAAAAUUCUUUUCCAAAAUGUGGACAUAGCUUCUGUAAGAAUGACACACAAUCUCUGUUAGAAAAGGUCCUCCCGAAAUUGAAAAAUGACCAGAAACUUCCACUUAAGAUAGAGGAUGCCAAAAUGUGAAGGAAGCUCCUCAUUCUCACAUAAGGGAUCAAACAUUUAGAUACUGUAGUAACCUUUUAGAGAAAUAGUAGCUAGCCCAACCAUCUUUCAGUUCUGUGUUUCGUGAUCAGGUAGCUCUGGACAAACGACAGUAUUUCAGCCUUCUCUUAAAAUUCAAAUCUUUUUCCCCAUGGAGCCAAAGAAUAACCAGUAAAAACUGAUUCAUUAUAAAAUCAUUAAAAUAUUUCACAAUAUAAAUAUUACCUCUUGAGUGGGUUAGUUUAUGAAUACGUAGCUGCCAGAAUAUGAAAUGCAAGUUAUCUUUGGACUCUUUCAAGGUUUAUCCUAAAGAUCUACACAUGCCUGAGAGUAAUGUACAGAUGUUCACUUAGGUAUUGUUAGAAAUAGCAAAAAGUAGAGAAAAAGAGAAUGAACAGGUUAUUAUAGAGCAUCACACUAUGGAAUGUUAUGACUAAAUUAUGCAACCAAAAAGAAAAAAAUACAUCAUGAAAUUUAUAAGGAUGUUGCAAAGCCACUUUUCACUCAUUUUUUUGUGCUGGGGAUUAAAUCCAGGACCUCAAGUAUGCUAAGCACCCACUCUACCACUGUGCUACACCCACAACCAACUGAUUUCCCAGUAUUAAAGUUCAGUUUUCCACCAACUCAUGUUCACUUACAGGCUUAUCCUUCUAUUAUUCCAGGUCUUUAUUACGUUCUCCUCGUCAGUGGAUGCCCAGUAAACUCAGCUACCAAAGGGCCAAACCAUGGACAGGCCUAAAGGCUCCAGUGAGUCCAUUUCCUUCUGGCAGACAGCAUCUAUUUAGGUCUGAAACCUCCCAGAAGUGUGGCUAUCAAGUUAUUCCUGUGUCAUUCUGUGUUGUGUGGCAUGUAUUUCUUGCUACAGUGGAUCGUGAAACAGCAGCAUUCCUAGAACAGAGCAACAUUUUGCCUCAUUACUCUAGGGAGCAAGUUGGCUGAAACCCAGGGAAUUUCCUAAGCUGUGGCAAAUGUGAGUACUGCUUUGCUACUGGAAGGGGACAAGAAAAUGAACUACCUUGCUUCUUGUUGAAUAGCAACCCAAACCCUUUUCUAGCUUUCAUGUACUAUUAAAGGGUAUUUCAAGGGUCAGUUGCAAGUGACAAGCAUAAAUCUAUUAUCACAAUCGCCAAUUACUAGCUAGUGUGUUCACACUUAGGGUUUAAGAUUUAAGCUGUUUGAUGCGUCCAUAUCUGCAGUAAUACCAUAGUGGUAUUGAAAAAAAAAAAAACCUUUCAAGUACAUUGUACCAAGCAGAUGUGUGCUCUUAUCAUAGACCACGUGAUGCCCAACAAGGUAUUGGUUGGUUGUCAUUCAAAAAUCACUACUUUCCUCUCUGGUGCAGUUAUCAGUAUAAUGCAAAAACACGAGUAUAUUGUUUCCCUAGGUAGUGAGGAAAAGAGCUGUUGAUGGCUACUAUCAUACAGGUACUUUUCCUAUCUUUUAAUCCUUACCCCUGGGGUACACAGAGCACACAAGAGUUCCAGAUUUCACUCUAAGAAAAUUGACAAUUGUCAACAUUUUGAUGGAAGAUCAUCAGAAUUACAGCAACUAAUCAGCAAUCGUUUUCAACCUUC